GCAGCUUCACCUGGAGGGAGGGGUGCUC
This 28-nucleotide non-coding RNA is filed under the name Homo sapiens (human). The record is from RNAcentral. Lineage: Eukaryota; Metazoa; Chordata; Mammalia; Primates; Hominidae.